AUGCAAGUCGAACGGUAACAGACCGCUGGGAUCCCUUCGGGGUGACCUUGGUGCUGACGAGUGGCGGACGGGUGAGUAAUGCAUAGGAAUCUGCCCAGUAGUGGGGGACAACCUGGGGAAACCCAGGCUAAUACCGCAUACGACCUACGGGUGAAAGAGGGCCUCUUCUUGAAAGCUCUCGCUAUUGGAUGAGCCUAUGUCUGAUUAGCUUGUUGGUGAGGUAACGGCUCACCAAGGCGACGAUCAGUAGCUGGUCUGAGAGGACGAUCAGCCACACUGGGACUGAGACACGGCCCAGACUCCUACGGGAGGCAGCAGUGGGGAAUAUUGCACAAUGGGCGCAAGCCUGAUGCAGCCAUGCCGCGUGUGUGAAGAAGGCCUUAGGGUUGUAAAGCACUUUCAGCAGUGAGGAAAGGGGUGUCGUUAAUAGCGCCAUCCUGUGACGUUAACUGCAGAAGAAGGACCGGCUAACUCCGUG
RNAcentral lists this ribosomal RNA (478 nucleotides) under uncultured bacterium. RNAcentral's name for it is "bacterial SSU rRNA". It matches the Rfam family "Bacterial small subunit ribosomal RNA", at positions 55 to 507 of the family's 1533-position model. The record is from RNAcentral.